GGACUUGCGGCAGCUACACAUGCAAGUCGAACGGUAGCACAGAGGAGCUUGCUCCUUGGGUGACGAGUGGCGGACGGGUGAGUAAUGUCUGGGAAACUGCCCGAUGGAGGGGGAUAACUACUGGAAACGGUAGCUAAUACCGCAUAACGUCGCAAGACCAAAGAGGGGGACCUUCGGGCCUCUUGCCAUCGGAUGUGCCCAGAUGGGAUUAGCUAGUAGGUGGGGUAACGGCUCACCUAGGCGACGAUCCCUAGCUGGUCUGAGAGGAUGACCAGCCACACUGGAACUGAGACACGGUCCAGACUCCUACGGGAGGCAGCAGUGGGGAAUAUUGCACAAUGGGCGCAAGCCUGAUGCAGCCAUGCCGCGUGUAUGAAGAAGGCCUUCGGGUUGUAAAGUACUUUCAGCGAGGAGGAAGGCGUUGUGGUUAAUAACCGCAGCGAUUGACGUUACUCGCAGAAGAAGCACCGGCUAACUCCGUGCCAGCAGCCGGGGUAAUACAA
Molecule: ribosomal RNA, 503 nt
Filed under: Citrobacter freundii
Lineage: Bacteria; Pseudomonadati; Pseudomonadota; Gammaproteobacteria; Enterobacterales; Enterobacteriaceae
Description: bacterial SSU rRNA
Rfam family: Bacterial small subunit ribosomal RNA
Source: RNAcentral